GACAGAGGUGCCAAGCGUUAGGCGGAAUCACUGGGCUUAAAGCGUGUGUAGGCGGAUUCCUAAGUACCUUGUGAAAUCCCACGGCUCAACCGUGGAACUGCUCGGUAUACUGGGUAUCUUGAGCCACUUAGGGGCGACCGGAACAACUGGUGGAGCGGUGAAAUGCGCAGAUAUCAUUUGGAACGCCAAUGGUGAAAACAGGUCGCUGGGAGUGUGCUGACGCUGAGACACGAAAGCCAGGGGAGCAAACGGG
Molecule: ribosomal RNA, 253 nt
Filed under: uncultured bacterium
Lineage: Bacteria
Description: partial 16S ribosomal RNA
Rfam family: Bacterial small subunit ribosomal RNA
Source: RNAcentral